UACCAGCACCCCGAGUGGUCGGGACGAUUAUUGGGCCUAAAGCAUCCGUAGCCGGUUUUACAAGUCCUCCGUUAAAUCCAGCUGCUUAACAGAUGGGCUGCGGAGGAUACUAUAAGACUAGGAGGCAGGAAAGGCAAGCGGUACUCAGUGGGUAGGGGUAAAAUCCGUUGAUCCAUUGAAGACCACCAGUGGCGAAGGCGGCUUGCCAGAAUGCGCUCGACGGUGAGGGAUGAAAGCUGGGGGAGCAAACCGG
This 253-nucleotide ribosomal RNA is filed under the name uncultured bacterium. RNAcentral's name for it is "partial 16S ribosomal RNA". It matches the Rfam family "Archaeal small subunit ribosomal RNA", at positions 474 to 727 of the family's 1478-position model. The record is from RNAcentral.